CUGGGAUUACAGGCUUGAGCCACCGCGCCCGGCGGAAUGCACUUUUUAAAAAGAGACCCCAGAACGGGAGCGGUGGCUCACGCCUGUAAUCCCAGC
Molecule: microRNA precursor, 96 nt
Filed under: Rhinopithecus roxellana (golden snub-nosed monkey)
Lineage: Eukaryota; Metazoa; Chordata; Mammalia; Primates; Cercopithecidae
Description: miRNA (ENSRROG00000002728.1)
Source: RNAcentral